CAGCAGCCGCGGUAAUACGAAGGGUGCAAGCGUUAAUCGGAAUUACUGGGCGUAAAGCGCACGCAGGCGGUCUGUCAAGUCGGAUGUGAAAUCCCCGGGCUCAACCUGGAAACUGCAUUCGAAACUGGCAGGCUAGAGUCUUGUAGAGGGGGGUAGAAUUCCAGGUGUAGCGGUGAAAUGCGUAGAGAUCUGGAGGAAUACCGGUGGCGAAGGCGGCCCCCUGGACAAAGACUGACGCUCAGGUGCGAAAGCGUGGGGAGCAAACAGGAUUAGAUACCCGCGUAGUCCCUGUCUCUUAUAC
This 301-nucleotide ribosomal RNA is filed under the name uncultured bacterium. RNAcentral's name for it is "partial 16S ribosomal RNA". It matches the Rfam family "Bacterial small subunit ribosomal RNA", at positions 509 to 807 of the family's 1533-position model. The record is from RNAcentral.